Non-coding RNA from Misgurnus anguillicaudatus (oriental weatherfish), 752 nucleotides. The record is from RefSeq and is a predicted model, not a curated record. NCBI's taxonomy places the organism in Eukaryota, Metazoa, Chordata, Actinopteri, Cypriniformes, Cobitidae.
ACGUCAUAAUGACGUACUACUUUAACGAAUUUGAACAAGACGCGCCAGCGCCAUUUUCUGCAUGAGAGGACGAGAUCGCUACACGAGUUGCUGAUGGGAGAAAAAAGAAGACGAAGGAGCUCUUAUUUGAACGACUACAGAUGUAUUUUUAUAACAACAAACCAAAGGAUGAGGACUGCAGCAUUGCUUGGGCUGCCGUGAUACAUGCGAGAGACUCCAUCUAAAUUCAUGAAGAUAUGCGAGCCCAGUGACCAUGAAGAGGAUGUGAUCAAGGGCGUGGUGAUCGGAAUCCUAGUGGUUGUGGAAAAUGCGGAGCCUUUUCCAGAAUUCUACAAUGACGUUGCCCUGGGGAUUGAGGAAGAAGUGGUGAUGCGUCACCCUGAGUGACAUACCUAAUGCUUUUCUGAACCUGAUUGGCCUGGUGUACGCAUUAAACCUUGACUAUCCAAAGGAAUUAAAAUUCACUUUUGAAGUGAUACAGCGCCUGUUCAUUGGAGUUGGAUCACACUCUUGCACCGCAAGAGUUCACUCUUUGAAGAGCAAGUUGCUGAGAUAAGAAACUAUUUUCUUCUCCUUGUUACUAUAAGCAUUUACAGUGUUACACUGUUUUAAAGUUUAAGACCAUUGUUAUUUUAGAUAUUAUUGUUUUAAAGGGAUACUCCAUCAUUUUGUCUCAUUAAACUGUUAUUACCUUAAAGCAAUAGUUCACUUUGAAAUUAAAUUCUAAUGUUUUAGCUUACCUCAAGGGCAUU